RNAcentral lists this ribosomal RNA (585 nucleotides) under uncultured bacterium. RNAcentral describes it as "partial 16S ribosomal RNA". It matches the Rfam family "Bacterial small subunit ribosomal RNA", at positions 355 to 1375 of the family's 1533-position model. The record is from RNAcentral.
UGGGGAACUUUGGACAAUGGGCGAAAGCCUGAUCCAGCAAUGCCGCGUGUGUGAAGAAGGCCUUCGGGUUGUAAAGCACUUUUGUCCGGAAAGAAAUCCUUGGCUCUAAUACAGUCGGGGGAUGACGGUACCGGAAGAAUAAGCACCGGCUAACUACGUGCCAGCAGCCGCGGUAAUACGUAGGGUGCAAGCGUUAAUCGGAAUUACUGGGCGUAAAGCGUGCGCAGGCGGUUUGCUAAGACCGAUGUGAAAUCCCCGGGCUCAACCUGGGAACUGCAUUGGUGACUGGCAGGCUAGAGUAUGGCAGAGGGGGGUAGAAUUCCACGUGUAGCAGUGAAAUGCGUAGAGAUGUGGAGGAAUACCGAUGGCGAAGGCAGCCCCCUGGGCCAAUACUGACGCUCAUGCACGAAAGCGUGGGGAGCAAACAGGAUUAGAUACCCUGGUAGUCCACGCCCUAAACGAUGUCAACUAGUUGUUGGGGAUUCAUUUCCUUAGUAACGUAGCUAACGCGUGAAGUUGACCGCCUGGGGAGUACGGUCGCAAGAUUAAAACUCAAAUGAAUUGACGGGGUCAUAGCUGUUUCCU